AUACUCAUUUUUUAAGUAUAUGAAGAACUAAGUCAAAUUUAUAAGAACCCAAGUCAAUCCUCAAUUGAUAAAUGAUCAAAGGAUAUGAAUAGGCAGUUUUCAGAUGAAAUAAAAUCUUUCAAUAAUUAUAUGAAAGAAUGUUCUAAAUCCCUCUUGAUUAGAGAAGUGCAAAUUAAAAGAAUUCUGAGGUACCAUCUCAUACCUAUCAGACUGACCAAUAUGACAUAAAGGAAAAUGAUAAAUGUUGGAGGACACGUGGCAAAACUGGGACACUAAUGUAUUGCUGGUGGAGUUGUGAAUUGAUUCAACCAUUCUGGAGGUGUGACAGAGGCUGGCACAUAAGAAAAGUGCCAGGCUGAAGAGUGUGUGGAACUGAUCACCUCGAUGGGGGAGGGGCCCCAGGACUUUGGAAUCUGGAGGAGGAGAAGAUUCUGGCUAGGAGAGGAGUUGGUCUCUCAGUUGGGAGAAGCUGAAAAGAGAAGGUUGAAAAAGACUGAGGGUUACUCACUUUUUCCUGUCUGUGACUCGAAAUCUUUCCCCCCAAUAUUUCCCAAUUGAAAGGACUAUUGAAGAGGACACCUGAGAAAGACAUUUUAAAUUUAUUUCUGAUGUUACUUCAGCUCCUGUUGCCCUGAGUCUGAACUGUGACCAAGGGACCAAAUCCAGGCUCAUUCCAUAUUGAAUGAAGGAGCAGUUGUCCCCAUGGAAGGAGGUUAUUGGAAGCACAGGUGGAGACUACUAAGCCAAGCAGGGUUUGUCUGGAUCCUUUUGGUAGCUUCCGCUCUUGGGAACAAUUCAAAGAAUGACUCAGAGGAUGGAACAUGCUGGUUACUUGACCACAAUAGUACGGAGACCCCGAAACAAGGAAAGACAGAAUAUCUUACUGCAAAUGAUUGUGAAGGAGUAAUUUCUGACUAUUUCAAAUUUUGUUUCCCAAAAAGAUGCCCUAAGAUUUCCUGUUUAUUUUAUCAAGAUGACUCAGGGAACUUGAAGCCUUAUAUUUGUAGUACUCUCCUCAGAGUGCUUAUUGUCAGCGUGCAAACUGGAAAAGCAAAGACAGCAGGACAUCUGUGUACGCCUAAAGAUUCCAUCUGUAAUUGGACCUUAGACAAUGAUUUACUACUCACUUCUGGAUCUCUUAUAAUGGCCUACAGAUGCUUGGAGAUGGGACUGCAUAUAAUUGGUUUGACAGUUUCUGAUGUAACAUCUACUGCACCAACUCAGAGUCUAUUUAAUAUGACACUGGAAAAAGUAGGUAUUGGAUUUCUUGAUCUUGGCAGUUCAUCUCCAGAAGUGCUUAUUCUGUCACCAUUAAAGGUAGGAGCUCAUAUUCACUUCUUUAAGAAAAUUUUCUCACUCUGA
RNAcentral lists this long non-coding RNA (1362 nucleotides) under Monodelphis domestica (gray short-tailed opossum). RNAcentral describes it as "lncRNA (ENSMODG00000044060.1)". Lineage: Eukaryota; Metazoa; Chordata; Mammalia; Didelphimorphia; Didelphidae. The record is from RNAcentral.